RNAcentral lists this ribosomal RNA (540 nucleotides) under uncultured bacterium. RNAcentral describes it as "partial 16S ribosomal RNA". It matches the Rfam family "Bacterial small subunit ribosomal RNA", at positions 355 to 886 of the family's 1533-position model. The record is from RNAcentral.
UAGGGAAUCUUCCACAAUGGACGCAAGUCUGAUGGAGCAACGCCGCGUGAGUGAAGAAGGUUUUCGGAUCGUAAAGCUCUGUUGUUGGUGAAGAAGGAUAGAGGCAGUAACUGGUCUUUAUUUGACGGUAAUCAACCAGAAAGUCACGGCUAACUACGUGCCAGCAGCCGCGGUAAUACGUAGGUGGCAAGCGUUGUCCGGAUUUAUUGGGCGUAAAGCGAGCGCAGGCGGAAUGAUAAGUCUGAUGUGAAAGCCCACGGCUCAACCGUGGAACUGCAUCGGAAACUGUCAUUCUUGAGUGCAGAAGAGGAGAGUGGAACUCCAUGUGUAGCGGUGGAAUGCGUAGAUAUAUGGAAGAACACCAGUGGCGAAGGCGGCUCUCUGGUCUGCAACUGACGCUGAGGCUCGAAAGCAUGGGUAGCGAACAGGAUUAGAUACCCUGGUAGUCCAUGCCGUAAACGAUGAGCGCUAGGUGUUGGGGACUUUCCGGUUCUCAGUGCCGCAGCAAACGCAUUAAGCGCUCCGCCUGGGGAGUACGAC